This 604-nucleotide ribosomal RNA is filed under the name Cautires sp. UPOL A00111. RNAcentral's name for it is "partial 16S ribosomal RNA". It matches the Rfam family "Bacterial large subunit ribosomal RNA", at positions 1816 to 2714 of the family's 2925-position model. The record is from RNAcentral. Lineage: Eukaryota; Metazoa; Arthropoda; Insecta; Coleoptera; Lycidae.
CAUGUCCUUUUGAGUUUAAUUUAAGGUCUGAUCUGCUCAAUGAAUUUUAAAUAGCCGCAGUAUUUUGACUGUGCAAAGGUAGCAUAAUAAUUAGUUUCUUGAUUAGGAACUGGAAUGAAUGAUUAGACAAGAAAAUUACUGUCUCUUUUUUAAAUUUAUUGAAUUUUAUUUUUAAGUGAAAAAGCUUAAAUAUUUAUAAAAGACGAGAAGACCCUAUAGAGUUUAAUAAAUAUUUUAAAUAAGAAGUUAGAAAAUUAUUUUUAAAAAAUUUAUUUAAUUGGGGUGAUUGAAAGAUUAGAAAAAUUCUUUUAUAUAAAAGUUGUUAAUUUACAAAUUUUUAUAUCUAUUAUUAAUAAAUAUAAAAUAAAUUACCUUAGGGAUAACAGCGUAAUUUUUCUUCAAAGUUCUUAUUUUAAGGAAAGUUUGCGACCUCGAUGUUGGAUUAAAAUUAAUUUUUGGUGCAAUAACUUAAAAAUUAGGUCUGUUCGACCUUUAAAAUUUUACAUGAUCUGAGUUUAAACCGGUGUGAGCCAGGUUGGAUUCUAUCUUUAGAUAAUUAAAUAUAUUUUAGUACGAAAGGACCAAAUAUAUAUUAAAUUAAUUG